GAAUAUUAUACACUAAUGAUAUUU
Molecule: small nuclear RNA, 24 nt
Filed under: Arabidopsis thaliana (thale cress)
Lineage: Eukaryota; Viridiplantae; Streptophyta; Magnoliopsida; Brassicales; Brassicaceae
Description: snRNA_08714
Source: RNAcentral